UACGUAGGGUGCGAGCGUUGUCCGGAAUUAUUGGGCGUAAAGAGCUUGUAGGCGGUUUUGUCGCGUCUGCCGUGAAAAUCCGGGGCUCAACCCCGGACUUGCGGUGGGUACGGGCAGGACUAGAGUGUGGUAGGGGAGACUGGAAUUCCUGGUGUAGCGGUGAAAUGCGCAGAUAUCAGGAGGAACACCAGCGGCGAAGGCGGGGUCUCUGGGGCCGUAACUGACGCUGAGGAGCGAAAAGCAUGGGGAGCGAACAGG
RNAcentral lists this ribosomal RNA (258 nucleotides) under uncultured bacterium. RNAcentral's name for it is "partial 16S ribosomal RNA". It matches the Rfam family "Bacterial small subunit ribosomal RNA", at positions 524 to 776 of the family's 1533-position model. The record is from RNAcentral.